AUUGGAGGAAAGAAUGGCAAAAAAAAAAAAAAUCAAAAUAUUUCUUUUGUCCUUAACUUUAGGACAAAUAGAAAAUAUUGGUGAUGAUAAAAGAGUAUAUUUAAAAAGACAAAAAAUCAAAAUGCUUUGUACCCUUAACUUAAGGGCAAAUAAGAAAGAUUGGUAAAAAUAGAAGGGUAUAUUUGAAAGGUCAAAUAGUAUUUUCAUACAGAUAACAACAGUCAAAUAGUAAUUUCAUACAGAUAACAACUAUUGCUAAUAAUUCAUUAAUAGAAUUUAAUUCUAAGGGUGUAUUGGAAAUAGGUUGUAAUGUAAAAAAGGUAUUUUCAAUAUUAUCCUUUUAAGAGGGGUAAUUAGAAAGUCGAAAACUUUUCAAAAAUAUAUAAACAAUUGCCCCAUAUAUAUAUAUAUAUAUAUAUAUAGAGAGAGAGAGAGAGAGAGAGAGAGAGAGAGAGAGAGAGAGAGAGAGAGAGCGCUAAGUUGGUAUGCUAUUGGUAUCACGGAGCUCUCCGUGCUACCAAUUUGUUUUCAAUAAUGUGGCUUUCCAAUCGACGAUCGACUCCAUUAGAUUUGAUUUACACUACUAAAAGUAUUGGAAACUAAAUUUUAUUAUUUUUCGAUAUUAUUUGACUAGUGAUCAAAAGGUCUUAAAAUUGACAAUUUAAUGGUCGAUGUGAUGCGUUUGUGAAUUUAACGGUAUAAAACAGUCUAAAUAUGAUGAAAUUUUUAUAGAAAAUUCUUUUCACUAUUUAAAGUAAGAUCAGUACUUCUGAUAUUAAAUUCAAGUUUUUUAUCAUUAUUUUUUAUGAAAUUUUUAUUUUCAGCUGUUCAUUUUUAGACUAUUCGUUUGAUAGGUAAAUAAUGUUGAAAAAUUAUGAAAUUUAGUUUCCAAAUACUUUCAACUGUGUAGAUCAAGUCUAACGGAGCUGAUCGUCGAUUUGAAAACCGCAUCAUUGAAAAUAGCUUGGUAGUACGGAGGCUUCCGUGCUACUGAUAGUAUAUCAACCUAGCUCUCUCUCUCUCUCUCUCUCUCUCUCUCUCUCUCUCUCUAUAUAUAUAUAUAUAAAGUCUAGUUCAAAUAACAUAAAUGUGAUCGUGUACAGUAUUACACUCUUUUUUAACCGUAGAUUAAAUACAAUCUAAGAAUUGAGAUGAAACAAUGGGCAACUUUUUGUUUCUUUAUUAAAAUACUCUUUUCUCCUUCAUAGGAUGUGAUAUCACUACAGUAAACUUCCAUUUCACUCCCCUUUUUGUUUUCUUUUUUUUUUUCCAUUGUAAACCCACUAUGUAAUCAAUUUUUCUCAACUAAUUGACACAACUUUGUAUUAACAUUUCAUGCACAGUUCGAUUGAUAAUUUUUAAUAUAAGUGAAAUUUUUAAAGAAAAAUAAUUUAUAUAAUAAACUAACAAUAUUUAGAUAAAAAAUUAUCAAUAUUUUAUUUCUUUCGAUGCUUUUGGAUGGUUCCAAUUGAUUUUAAUACACUGCAAUUUAAUUUUAUAAAAUAUUUAAAAUUUAAUUGACUGCAACAAUUCACAUUAAAAUAAAUAAAAUUUUCAAGAAUUUAUUAACAAACUAAAGUUCAAGGGCCAAUUAUAUAUAGCAAUAAUCCCUUUAUAAUCUGUUUUAUUGUUAAAUUUCUUUAUAUGCUUUCACAUUUUUGAAAAACCAAUAUUUUAUGUGCACAUAAAAUUAAGUUAAUGUAAAUAAUUACAGUAACAAACCUUAUAUAUCAGUAUGAGAUAGAAAAUAUUAUGUAAACUUUCAUUCUCAGGAAUCCAAAAAUAAAUAAAGGACGGAGUAAGGAAAUGGUGUCACAUCCAAGGCUAGUAAAGUGAUGUCACAUCUUGUAGAAAAAGUAUUUUAACAUAGAAACAAAAAAGUUACUAUUGUUUUAUCUUAACCGUUGGAUCGUACUUAGAUCUACGGUUCAAAAGAAAUGUAAUACUAUUUAUUAUUUCACUUAUGUUAUUUGAACUUAAUGAGUCUCAUAUAUAUAUAUAUAUAUAUAUAUAUAUAUAUAUAUAUAUAUAUAUAUAUAUAGAGUCCGGCUGCUAUGCUAUCGGUAGCACGGAGCGCUUCGUGCUACCAAGUUGUUUUCGAUUAUGCGGCUUCCAAAUCGACGAUCGGCUCCGUUAGACUUGAUCUACACUAUUGAAAGUGUUUGGAAACUAAAUUUCAAAUUUUUUCGACAUCAUUUGACUAGUGAUCGAAAGAUCUCAAAAUUGACAAUUUUAAUGGCCGAUGUGGUGUGUUUGUGAGUUUAACGGUGUAAAACAAUUCAAAUGCGAUGAAAAUUUUAUAGAAAAUUCUUUUUACUAUUUAGAGUAAGAUCAGUAUAUCUGAUCUUGAAUUUAAAUCUUUUGUCAUCAUUUUUUAUGAGAUUUUUAUUUUCAGCCGUUCAAUUUUAG
RNAcentral lists this long non-coding RNA (2409 nucleotides) under Ananas comosus (pineapple). Its description in RNAcentral is "long non-coding RNA (ACOM_LNC030335)". The record is from RNAcentral. Lineage: Eukaryota; Viridiplantae; Streptophyta; Magnoliopsida; Poales; Bromeliaceae.